Molecule: ribosomal RNA, 497 nt
Filed under: uncultured bacterium
Lineage: Bacteria
Description: partial 16S ribosomal RNA
Rfam family: Bacterial small subunit ribosomal RNA
Source: RNAcentral
GAUGAACGCUGGCGGCGUGCCUAAUACAUGCAAGUCGAGCGAACAGACGAGGAGCUUGCUCCUCUGACGUUAGCGGCGGACGGGUGAGUAACACGUGGAUAACCUACCUAUAAAACUGGGAUAACUUCGGGAAACCGGAGCUAAUACCGGAUAAUAUAUUGAACCGCAUGGUUCCAUAUUGAAAAACGGUUUUUCUGUCACUUAUAGAUGGAUCCGCGCCGCAUUAGCUAGUUGGUAAGGUAACGGCUUACCAAGGCAACGAUGCGUAGCCGACCUGAGAGGGUGAUCGGCCACACUGGAACUGAGACACGGUCCAGACUCCUACGGGAGGCAGCAGUAGGGAAUCUUCCGCAAAGGGCGAAAGCUUGACGGAGCAACGCCGCGUGAGUGAUGAAGGUCUUCGGAUCGUAAAACUCUGUUAUUAGGGAAGAACAAAUGUGUAAGUAACUAUGCACGUCUUGACGGUACCUAAUCAGAAAGCCACGGCUAACUACGUG